AGCGGCGAGCGAAACGGAAAGAGCCCAAACCAAGAAGCUUGCUUCUUGGGGUUGUAGGACACUCUAUACGGAGUUACAAAAAAGUUAUAAAUGAAGCGGUCUGGAAAGGCCCGCCAAAGACGUAACAGCCCGGUAGUUGAAAUGGCUUUCCUCCAGAGUGGAUCCUGAGUACGGCGGAACACGUGAAAUUCCGUCGGAAUCCGGGAGGACCAUCUCCCAAGCUAAAUACUCCCUAGUGACCGAUAGUGAACCAGUAUGAGGAAAGGUGAAAGCACCCGGAAGGGGAGUGAAACAGUUCCUGAAACCGUGUGCCUACAAGUAGUUAGAGCCGUUAAUGGGUGAUAGCGUGCCUUUUGUAGAAUGAACCGGCGAGUUACGAUUUGUUGCCGGAAAAAGCGGAGCGUAGCGAAAGCGAGAAUAGGGCGCAUAAGUAACAGGUCGAGACUCG
RNAcentral lists this ribosomal RNA (448 nucleotides) under Listeria monocytogenes. Its description in RNAcentral is "bacterial LSU rRNA". It matches the Rfam family "Bacterial large subunit ribosomal RNA", at positions 245 to 717 of the family's 2925-position model. The record is from RNAcentral. Lineage: Bacteria; Bacillati; Bacillota; Bacilli; Caryophanales; Listeriaceae.